UUUUAACACAUGUUGAGACAGCCAAAGAUUUAUCGGCUAAGGAUGGGCCUGCGUCUGAUUAACUAGUUGGUGAGGUACCGGCCCCACCAAGGUGACGAUCAGUAGCCGACCUGAGAGGGUGAUCGGCCACAUUGGAACUGAGACACGGUCCAAACUUCUACGGAAGGCAGCAGUAAGGAAUCUUGCACAAUGGGGGAAACCCUGAUGCAGCAACGCCGCGUGAACGAUGAAGGCCUUAGGGUUGUAAAGUUCUGAUCUGGGGGAAGAAGGAAGUGACGGUACCCCAGGAGAAAGCCCCGGCUAAAUACGUGCCAGCAGCCGCGGUAAUACGUAUGGGGCAAGCGUUAUCCGGAAUUAUUGGGCGUAAAGAGUGCGUAGGUGGUUACCUAAGCGCAAGGUUUAAUCUUGAGGCUCAACCUCAUUCUGCCUUGCGAACUGGGCUACUUGAGUGCAGGAGGGGAAAGCGGAAUUCCCAGUGUAGCGGUGAAAUGCGUAGAUAUUGGGAAGAACACCGGUGGCGAAGGCGGCUUUCUGGACUGUAACUGACACUGAGGCACGAAAGCGUGGGGAGCAAACAGGAUUAGAUACCCUGGUAGUCCACGCCGUAAACGAUGAGCACUAGUUGUUGGGUACGAAUGUAUUCAGUGACGCAGUUAACGCAAUAAGUGCUCCGCCUGGGGAGUACGGUGGCAACACUAAAACUCAAAGGAAUUGACGGGGACCCGCACAAGCAGCGGAGCAUGUGGUUUAAUUCGAAGCAACGCGAAAAACCUUACCAGGGCUUGACAUCCCUCUGACCGGAUCUUAACCGAUCCUUUCUUCGGACAGAGGAGACAGGUGGUGCAUGGUUGUCGUCAGCUCGUGUCGUGAGAUGUUGGGUUAAGUCCCGCAACGAGCGCAACCCCUAUCCCCAGUAGCCAGCGGCCCGGCCGGGCACUCUGAGGAGACUGCCAGGGAUAACCUGGAGGAAGGUGGGGACGACGUCAAAUCAUCAUGCCCCUUAUGAUCUGGGCUACACACGUGCUACAAUGGCAGUUACAAAGUGAGGCGAACCCGCGAGGGGGAGCAAACCACAAAAGGCUGUCCCAGUUCGGACUGUAGUCUGCAACCCGACUACACGAAGCUGGAAUCGCUAGUAAUCGUAAUCAGCAUGUUACGGUGAAUACGUUCCCGGGUCUUGUAC
This 1183-nucleotide ribosomal RNA is filed under the name uncultured bacterium. RNAcentral describes it as "bacterial SSU rRNA". It matches the Rfam family "Bacterial small subunit ribosomal RNA", at positions 181 to 1386 of the family's 1533-position model. The record is from RNAcentral.